Molecule: ribosomal RNA, 599 nt
Filed under: Salmonella enterica subsp. enterica serovar Indiana
Lineage: Bacteria; Pseudomonadati; Pseudomonadota; Gammaproteobacteria; Enterobacterales; Enterobacteriaceae
Description: partial 23S ribosomal RNA
Rfam family: Bacterial large subunit ribosomal RNA
Source: RNAcentral
GCGGACAGUGUCUGGUGGGUAGUUUGACUGGGGCGGUCUCCUCCUAAAGAGUAACGGAGGAGCACGAAGGUUGGCUAAUCCUGGUCGGACAUCAGGAGGUUAGUGCAAUGGCAUAAGCCAGCUUGACUGCGAGCGUGACGGCGCGAGCAGGUGCGAAAGCAGGUCAUAGUGAUCCGGUGGUUCUGAAUGGAAGGGCCAUCGCUCAACGGAUAAAAGGUACUCCGGGGAUAACAGGCUGAUACCGCCCAAGAGUUCAUAUCGACGGCGGUGUUUGGCACCUCGAUGUCGGCUCAUCACAUCCUGGGGCUGAAGUAGGUCCCAAGGGUAUGGCUGUUCGCCAUUUAAAGUGGUACGCGAGCUGGGUUUAGAACGUCGUGAGACAGUUCGGUCCCUAUCUGCCGUGGGCGCUGGAGAACUGAGGGGGGCUGCUCCUAGUACGAGAGGACCGGAGUGGACGCAUCACUGGUGUUCGGGUUGUCAUGCCAAUGGCACUGCCCGGUAGCUAAAUGCGGAAGAGAUAAGUGCUGAAAGCAUCUAAGCACGAAACUUGCCCCGAGAUGAGUUCUCCCUGAGACUUUAGGUCUCCUGAAGGAACGUUG